UAAGGAAUAUUGGUCAAUGGGCGCAAGCCUGAACCAGCCAUGCCGCGUGCAGGAAGACGGCCCUAUGGGUUGUAAACUGCUUUUGUCAGGGAAUAAACCCCGCUCGUGAGCGGGGCUGAAGGUACCUGAAGAAUAAGCAUCGGCUAACUCCGUGCCAGCAGCCGCGGUAAUACGGAGGAUGCAAGCGUUAUCCGGAUUCAUUGGGUUUAAAGGGUGCGCAGGCGGAUUGGUAAGUCAGGGGUGAAAUCCCACAGCUCAACUGUGGAACUGCCUUUGAUACUGUCAGUCUAGAGUAUAGUUGAAGUGGGCGGAAUGUGUCAUGUAGCGGUGAAAUGCUUAGAUAUGACACAGAACACCGAUCGCGAAGGCAGCUCGCUAAGCUAUAACUGACGCUCAUGCACGAAAGCGUGGGGAUCAAACAG
RNAcentral lists this ribosomal RNA (422 nucleotides) under uncultured bacterium. RNAcentral describes it as "bacterial SSU rRNA". It matches the Rfam family "Bacterial small subunit ribosomal RNA", at positions 355 to 775 of the family's 1533-position model. The record is from RNAcentral.